RNAcentral lists this ribosomal RNA (521 nucleotides) under uncultured bacterium. Its description in RNAcentral is "bacterial SSU rRNA". It matches the Rfam family "Archaeal small subunit ribosomal RNA", at positions 345 to 866 of the family's 1478-position model. The record is from RNAcentral.
AACCUCCGCAAUGUGAGAAAUCGCGACGGGGGGAUCCCAAGUGCCAUUCUUAACGGGAUGGCUUUUCAUUAGUGUAAAGAGCUUUUGGAAUAAGGGCUGGGCAAGACCGGUGCCAGCCGCCGCGGUAACACCGGCAGCUCUAGUGGUAGCAGUUUUUAUUGGGCCUAAAGCGUCCGUAGCCGGUUUAAUAAGUCUCUGGUGAAAUCCUGUAGCUUAACUGUGGGAAUUGCUGGAGAUACUAUUAGACUUGAGACCGGGAGAGGUUAGAGGUACUCUCAGGGUAGAGGUGAAAUUCUGUAAUCCUGGGAGGACCGCCUGUUGCGAAGGCGUCUAACUGGAACGGUUCUGACGGUGAGGGACGAAAGUUAGGGGCGCGAACCGGAUUAGAUACCCGGGUAGUCCUAACUGUAAACGAUGCGGACUUGGUGUUGGGGUGGCUUUGAGCUGCUUCAGUGCCGAAGGGAAGCUGUUAAGUCCGCCGCCUGGGAAGUACGGUCGCAAGACUGAAACUUAAAGGAAGU